AACCGCGUGAGCUUCUUAUGGCGCGAGUUACCAAGCGACAUUCCGGCGCUAGGCAUGCUGGGACUUGUAGUUUGCGUAGAAAAAAAAAGCGCUAGAACUACAGCAGUUCCCGAGGUCGUGAGUCACUGUUUCAGCUUCAGUCAGGAGGUUCGGUUUCUUAUGCUGCCUGUUGCCUCGGCGGUUCAGAAAGCGCUGGGUUGCUGGUCGAGUGAGUCUGGGUUCAUUCCUCCGGAGUUAGUCUGUAGCUCUCAGCUAUGGCUCCAGUGCUGCCUGCAUGCCAUCAUGCUUCCCACCAAGAUGAUGAUGGAAUAAACCUUUGCGAUUCUCCGGCUGAGGCUGCCUCCUGUACAGUGCGGAAACGGUUCAUGAGUUGGAAAGUGGUCGGAGCUCUGCGCUGGUGAAAGAGACUGCUUGGACUUUCAAGAGCCGUUGGACUCCAACAUAGUGAGUUUCCCUCCAACUUUG
Long non-coding RNA from Alexandromys fortis (reed vole), 465 nucleotides. RefSeq lists it as uncharacterized. The transcript is spliced from 3 exons. The record is from RefSeq and is a predicted model, not a curated record. NCBI's taxonomy places the organism in Eukaryota, Metazoa, Chordata, Mammalia, Rodentia, Cricetidae.